GCAAAGUUGGAUGCACCCCUACAGGACUGGAGUCAGGGCCAGGCAGAAAAGAGACUACAGGGAGGAGGAAGCAGCAAUGAGCUGGAGGCAUCUUCUUGGGGCCACAGGAGAAUCAGGACUAUGCACAUAUCUCAACAUCACUCCAGGAUGGCUUUUAGACAGAAUUAACCAAAUGCGCUUCCUCUGAAGUACAAUAUGAGAUGCAACUCACAGAAUGGAAGCAAAGAACAAUUUAAGAAAACCUCAAAAGCUAUCUCAAGUCAGCUUUCCCCUGUUUACAAGCAUGCCUCAUGUACACAAUAACAGGGAAGAUAAAUAUUUUAAGAAAAGAGGAAGAUGCAACUAUAAAACCACAACAGGGGAGCAGGGGGAAGAGGUACAGAGACAGCUGUAGAACCUGAAGCCACUCCGAGCUCUUCAUCUUCUAGAUACAGCACUGAAAUAUCAAAUAAGGAAAAGCUUGCGUCGGACUUCUCUAUGAGCCAAGAUGACUCUGAAAGGUUGACAACAUAUUUUGUUUGAGUUUUGAGUGUGCUUAGACUACAUUCUUAAGAAAGCAGAGAAGAAUACAGUAUAUUCUGACCUCUUAAACUAGAACAAAGCCUUCAUAAUACAUUCAAAGCCAAUUCUGCUCAACUAUUAUGAAUUGGAUUCUAACUAACCAAAUGCACGGGACUAAA
Long non-coding RNA from Alligator sinensis (Chinese alligator), 680 nucleotides. RefSeq lists it as uncharacterized. Lineage: Eukaryota; Metazoa; Chordata; Crocodylia; Alligatoridae. The transcript is spliced from 3 exons. The record is from RefSeq and is a predicted model, not a curated record.